AGCGAACGUUGGCGGCGUGGAUCAGACAUGCUAGUCGAACGAGAAAACGGGGGCAACUCCGUGAGUAAAGUGGCGAAAGGGCGAGUAAUGCGUGAUCAACCUACCCUUGCGAUAGGGAUAACGAUCCGAAAGGAUCGCUAACACCUAGUGUGGCCAUGUGGAGACAUCUCCGCGUGGAGAAACGGUUGGGAUCUUUGGACCUUCUGCGCGAGGAAGGGAUCACGUCCUAUUAGCUAGUUGGUGAGGUAAUGGCUCACCAAGGCUGUGAUGGGUAGCCGGCCUGAGAGGGUGGUCGGCCGCACUGGGACUGAGACACGGCCCAGACUCCUACGGGAGGCAGCAGUCGAGAAUCUUCUGCAAUAGGCGCAAGCCUGACAGAGCGACGCCGCGUGGAGGAUGAAGGCCUUCGGGUUGUAAACUCCUGUCACCCGUUAUGAAACGCAACGCGUUAACAGCGCGUUGUCUGACAAAGGCGGGAAAGGAAGCACCGGCUAACCCUGUGCCAGCAGCCGCGGUAAGACAGGGGGUGCAAACGUUGCUCGGAAUCACUGGGCGUAAAGCGCACGUAGGUGGUCUCGUAAGUCGGGUGUGAAAUCCCUUGGCUCAACCAAGGAACUGCGCCCGAUACUGCGAGGCUCGAGGACGGGAGGGGAGAGUGGAAUUCCUGGUGGAGCGGUGAAAUGCGUAGAUAUCAGGAGGAACACCGGUGGCGAAGGCGACUCUCUGGUCCGUUCCUGACACUGAGGUGCGAAAGCUAGGGGAGCAAACGGGAUUAGAUACCCCGGUAGUCCUAGCUGUAAACGAUGGGCACUAGGUAGAGGAGAAUUCCUAUGUUCUUCUCUGCCGGAGCUAACGCGUUAAGUGCCCCGCCUGGGGAGUAUGCUCGCAAGGGUAAAACUCAAAGGAAUUGACGGGGGCUCACACAAGCGGUGGAGCAUGUGGUUCAAUUCGACGCAACGCGAAGAACCUUACCCGGGCUUGACAUGCAUGGAUUAACCGGCCGAAAGGUUGGGUACACUCGAAAGGGCGGAACAUGCACAGGUGCUGCAUGGCUGUCGUCAGCUCGUGUCGUGAGAUGUUGGGUUAAGUCCCGUAACGAGCGAAACCCUUGUCCUAAGUUGCGACCAGGUUAAGCUGAGCACUCUUAGGAAACUGCCGUUGUCAAAACGGAGGAAGGUGGGGAUGACGUCAAGUCAUCAUGGCCUUUAUGUCCGGGGCUACACACGUGCUACAAUGGCCGGUACAACGGGUUCCAAAGCCGCAAGGCCAAGGCAAUCUCUUAAAGCCGGUCUCAGUUCGGAUUGGAGGCUGCAAUUCGCCUCCAUGAAGCCGGAAUCGCUAGUAAUCGCGGAUCAGCUACGCCGCGGUGAAUAUGUUCCUGAGCCUUGUACACACCGCCCGUCAAGCCACGAAAGCUGAGAGUACCUGAAGUCGCUUGCCUAACCGCAAGGAGGGCGGCGCCCACGGUAAGCUCGGUGAUUGGG
RNAcentral lists this ribosomal RNA (1484 nucleotides) under uncultured bacterium. RNAcentral's name for it is "16S ribosomal RNA". It matches the Rfam family "Bacterial small subunit ribosomal RNA". The record is from RNAcentral.